Molecule: unclassified non-coding RNA, 366 nt
Filed under: soil metagenome
Description: partial contains 5.8S ribosomal RNA, internal transcribed spacer 2, and large subunit ribosomal RNA
Rfam family: 5.8S ribosomal RNA (bases 1-120)
Source: RNAcentral
GAUGAAGAACGUAGCGAAAUGCGAUAAGUAGUGUGAAUUGCAGAAUUACCUGGAUCAUCGAAUCUUUGAACGCACAUUGCGCCCCCUGGUAUUCCUGGGGGCAUGCCUGUUCGAGCGUCAUUAACAACCAAUCGGGCGGGGCUUUUGCAUGCUCCCGCUCGGCCAUGGGGGAUGGACGUCGUCGGACGCCCACCCCCGAAAUGCAACGGCGGACGGCCACCCGUGGCACUGCGGCGUAGUAAGUUAACCCUUCGCGCGCGCCCACGGAGUGGACUGCCCGGCCGCUUGAACCCCCACACAUCCUACGGUUGACCUCGGAUCAGGUAGGGAUACCCGCUGAACUUAAGCAUAUCAAUAAGCGGAGGA